AAAUCCACAUACAGUUUUAACAUGAAAACAACUUCUGGAACAAACGUUAAUACAUCAAUUCCCAAUGUCACAGAAGUAAAGGAGAACAUGACAUUUGGAUCAACUUUAGUCACCAACCCAAACGGAGGAUUUCUGGCAUGUGGGCCCUUAUAUGCCUAUAGAUGUGGACAUUUGCAUUACACAACUGGAAUCUGUUCUGACGUCAGCCCUACAUUUCAAGUCGUGAAUUCCAUUGCCCCUGUACGAGAAUGCAGCACUCAACUGGACAUAGUCAUAGUGCUGGAUGGUUCCAACAGUAUUUACCCAUGGGACAGUGUUACAGCUUUUUUAAAUGACCUUCUUGAAAGAAUGGAUAUUGGUCCUAAACAGACACAGGGCUCUACUUUGGGAGAAGUUUCUGAGGCACUGAAAAAGCGGUCUGACUGCGUUAAUGUUUGCCACACCUACUUUAAAUUUGGAACAUAAUACAUGCACAUAUAUAUACAUACAUGUGUCUUCAUGUGUCUGUGUAUAUUUAUGUCUCUUAAUAUUUUAAUAUCUAUGUAUACAUAAUU
Molecule: small RNA, 554 nt
Filed under: Pongo abelii (Sumatran orangutan)
Lineage: Eukaryota; Metazoa; Chordata; Mammalia; Primates; Hominidae
Description: processed transcript
Source: RNAcentral